CGGAGAUCACCUGUCAAGUCCUUAAUUCCAUACGCUCCAGGGUCUGAAUUUCAGAGAAGCAAAAUUCAGGAGCCUCUUAGUAAGUCAGGUUCGGAACUUUUGAAAGCAGGGAGUAUGGCUGUGAAAUAAAUUGUCCUGAGACCAAUUCUGAAAUUUAAUAAUGGAGAAAAUAAAGAAAACUAAUGGCAAAAUCUUGAGGAAAAAAUAUUUUUAUUGAGAUGCAAAGGGAAAUUAUACAGCAAAGGAAAUAUGGAUGACCUGAACUAGGAGGAAGGAAAAGCAGCAAAAGAAAUUCAAGAUGUUUUGCCAAAGCUGCCAAUGAAAUGAAGAUGGAGAGGAAGCAGAGCAACACCCCACAUUCUCUGUUUAAAAAAAGCACUUGUUGAUUGAGCUUGGAUUUGCUGCAGGGUUUGUCUACCCAGAUGAGUGGUCAUAUUGAUGAAUUAAACGCAUGCUGUCUUGAUGUCAGAAAUGUUGCGCUGAAAGAGCCCCAAGAGACCAUCUAGUGAAAGCUCCUUCCUUUCCAGAUGUUCAAGUGGAGAUGCAGGGGGUCAAGGGUUGCCUUGGUUUCCUCUUUUGUCAAAGGCAGACACCGUUCUCACCUACCUUCUCAACUUCUCAGCAAAGUCAGCA
Long non-coding RNA from Heterocephalus glaber (naked mole-rat), 633 nucleotides. The record is from Ensembl. Lineage: Eukaryota; Metazoa; Chordata; Mammalia; Rodentia; Bathyergidae.